UUAUUUGCAAGCAACGCCUUUAAUUCCAAAAGUGAAGGAAUUUAAAACUUAAAUUAAACGAUUUGUCCUUCAAACCAAAAACUGAUGUCCACGAGGCCACGUCUCACUCUGAGAUCCAAUCCAACAAAGCUGGUUUCGCGCCAACAGCACAGCGCUGUCCGGCAACGGACACGUGCUCCUCUUCCUCUGCGCGUGUCCGCUCUGAGCGCGCUCAUCUUCUCCUUUACUCAUCUUCUUCUUUACUUAUAGCCCUCCGCUCCUUCCUGCGAGCGCGUGGGCGAGGAUUGUUUAUUAAGCACACAGGAAUUAAUACAGAACACUGUGUGUGUGUGUGUGUGUGUGUGUGUGUGUGUGUGUGUGUGUGUGUGUGUGUGUGUGUGUGUGUGUGUGUGUGUGUGUGUGUGCGUGCGUGUGUGUAUUUGUGUGUGUGUGUGUGUGUGUGUGUGUGUGUGUGUGUGUGUGUGUGUGUGUGUGUGUGUGUGUGUGUGUGUGUGUGUGUGUGUCUCUGUUUGUGUGUGCCAGCGUGCAUGUGUAAAACUAUAUUUUUUAUUUUUAAGUCUAUUAUAGCAGCAUCGACUCUUUUCUAUAAAGCAAAAAUACAGAAUGAUGGAAAAAAUCAGGACACAAAGCUAAAUGUAUAUAUAAGAGCAUAUUUUAACGUUAAUUUAUUAAUCUGUUUUAUUUAAUAAUAAAACAAUUGAAUUUUUAUUUUAAAGUAGCGUUGGCCUCCAUAACUUGUGCAACGAUAAAUACACACACACACACACAUAUAUAAACAGACACACACGUCAACAGACAAACACACACACACCCACCCACACACAGAGACAUACAUGUAAACACACACACACGCACACAUAAAUAAUACAAAAUAGUAUACACACACGAACACACACACGUUAACCCACACACACUUAAAUAAUACAAAACAAUACAAACACACAUACACACAAACACAGAAGUGCUAAUUUCACGUAUGAGAAUGUCAGUGACUGUGAAGCCCUGCAUUAUUAUUAUGUCACUUCAGAUAGAGGUGUCUGCUGAGUGAGAAGAUACACAACAGCUACACACAGUG
RNAcentral lists this long non-coding RNA (1075 nucleotides) under Gadus morhua (Atlantic cod). RNAcentral's name for it is "lncRNA (ENSGMOG00000035610.1)". The record is from RNAcentral. Lineage: Eukaryota; Metazoa; Chordata; Actinopteri; Gadiformes; Gadidae.